UGUGAGUAUGCUCAUGGGGUUUUUGAGUGUUGGUUGCACCCAGCUCAAUACCGAACUCGACUUUGCAAAGAUGGCACUAGUUGCAAUAGGCGGGUCUGCUUUUUUGCCCAUGCACCGGAAGAGCUCAGGCCCUUGUAUGUCUCCACAGGAUCUGCUGUCCCUUCACCUCGAUCAUCUGCAUCUGCAGCUAGUGUCAUGGAC
Molecule: unclassified non-coding RNA, 201 nt
Filed under: Hevea brasiliensis (rubber tree)
Lineage: Eukaryota; Viridiplantae; Streptophyta; Magnoliopsida; Malpighiales; Euphorbiaceae
Source: RNAcentral